CUCAGAAAGCGUAGAAUCUGGAGGAAACCCAAGAGAACAAAGAGAAGUUAAAAUGAGGUGACAUCAGAGACCAGAGAUCAGGAUCGAGAUGAAGGAAUCUGGAUCGAAAUUGCAAAACAAAAUCCCCAAAUUUGAAGCAGGAACUAAAGUAGGACUUGUCGCUGAGAGGAACAUACAGUACAGGUCACGGGGAACGUCAUCGGACAUCGAGGCAGGAUAC
Long non-coding RNA from Tachysurus fulvidraco (yellow catfish), 220 nucleotides. RefSeq lists it as uncharacterized. The record is from RefSeq and is a predicted model, not a curated record. The transcript has 3 exons. NCBI's taxonomy places the organism in Eukaryota, Metazoa, Chordata, Actinopteri, Siluriformes, Bagridae.